GAUGAACGCUAGCGGCAGGCCUAACACAUGCAAGUCGAGGGGUAACAGGUUUAGCAAUAAAUGCUGACGACCGGCGCACGGGUGAGUAUCGCGUUUGCAACCUACCUUUAACUGGGGGAUAGCCCGGAGAAAUUCGGAUUAAUACCCCAUAACACUAUUAGGAGGCAUCUCCUUUUAGUUAAAGCUCCGGCGGUUAAAGAUGGGCAUGCGUGACAUUAGUUUGUUGGUGAGGUAACGGCUCACCAAGGCUACGAUGUCUAGGGGGGUCUGAGAGGAUGACUCCCCCACACUGGUACUGAGACACGGACCAGACUCCGUACGGGUGGCUG
RNAcentral lists this ribosomal RNA (329 nucleotides) under uncultured Bacteroidota bacterium. RNAcentral's name for it is "bacterial SSU rRNA". It matches the Rfam family "Bacterial small subunit ribosomal RNA", at positions 28 to 351 of the family's 1533-position model. Lineage: Bacteria; Pseudomonadati; Bacteroidota. The record is from RNAcentral.